RNAcentral lists this ribosomal RNA (253 nucleotides) under uncultured bacterium. RNAcentral's name for it is "partial 16S ribosomal RNA". It matches the Rfam family "Bacterial small subunit ribosomal RNA", at positions 524 to 776 of the family's 1533-position model. The record is from RNAcentral.
UACGUAGGGAGCAAGCGUUGUCCGGAAUCAUUGGGCGUAAAGAGCGCGUAGGCGGCCGUGUAAGUCCGCUCUGAAAGUCGGAGGCUCAACCUCCGAAAGCGGGUGGAUACUGCACGGCUAGAGUUCGGAAGAGGCGAGUGGAAUUCCUGGUGUAGCGGUGAAAUGCGCAGAUAUCAGGAGGAACACCAAUUGCGAAGGCAGCUCGCUGGGACGUUACUGACGCUGAGACGCGAAAGCGUGGGGAGCAAACAGG